UACGUAGGGUGCGAGCGUUGUCCGGAAUUAUUGGGCGUAAAGAGCGCGCAGGUGGUUGAUUAAGUCUGAUGUGAAAGCCCACGGCUUAACCGUGGAGGGUCAUUGGAAACUGGUCAACUUGAGUGCAGAAGAGGGAAGUGGAAUUCCAUGUGUAGCGGUGAAAUGCGUAGAUAUCCGGAGGAACACCGGUGGCGAAGGCGGCUUCCUGGACCGACACUGACGCUGAGGCGCGAAAGCCAGGGGAGCAAACGGG
RNAcentral lists this ribosomal RNA (253 nucleotides) under uncultured bacterium. Its description in RNAcentral is "partial 16S ribosomal RNA". It matches the Rfam family "Bacterial small subunit ribosomal RNA", at positions 524 to 776 of the family's 1533-position model. The record is from RNAcentral.